This 596-nucleotide ribosomal RNA is filed under the name Wilsonomyces carpophilus. RNAcentral's name for it is "partial large subunit ribosomal RNA". It matches the Rfam family "Eukaryotic large subunit ribosomal RNA", at positions 33 to 642 of the family's 3401-position model. Lineage: Eukaryota; Fungi; Ascomycota; Dothideomycetes. The record is from RNAcentral.
UUUUUGCAUAUCAAAAAAGCGGAGGAAAAGAAACCAACAGGGAUUGCCCUAGUAACGGCGAGUGAAGCGGCAACAGCUCAAAUUUGAAAUCUGGCCUCUUUUGGGGUCCGAGUUGUAAUUUGCAGAGGGCGCUUUGGAGUCGGCAGCGGUCCAAGUUCCUUGGAACAGGACGUCACAGAGGGUGAGAAUCCCGUACGUGGUCGCUAGCCUUCUCCGUGUAAAGCCCCUUCGACGAGUCGAGUUGUUUGGGAAUGCAGCUCUAAAUGGGAGGUAAAUUUCUUCUAAAGCUAAAUAUUGGCCAGAGACCGAUAGCGCACAAGUAGAGUGAUCGAAAGAUGAAAAGCACUUUGGAAAGAGAGUCAAAAAGCACGUGAAAUUGUUGAAAGGGAAGCGCUUGCAGCCAGACUUGCCUGUAGUUGCUCAUCCGGGCUUUUGCCCGGUGCACUCUUCUAUAGGCAGGCCAGCAUCAGUUUGGGCGGUUGGAUAAAGGUCUCUGUCAUGUACCUCUCUUCGGGGAGAACUUAUAGGGGAGACGCCAUGCAACCAGCUCAGACUGAGGUCCGCGCAUCGCUAGGAUGCUGCGUAAGUUGGCUGAU